GGAGGGUGCAAGCGUUGUUCGGAAUUACUGGGCGUAAAGCGCGUGUAGGCGGCCUAUUAUGUCAGGUGUGAAAGCCCUUGGCCCAACCAAGGAAGUGCGUCUGAAACUGAUAGGCUUGAGUACGAGAGAGGAGGACGGAAUUCCCAGUGUAGAGGUGAAAUUCGUAGAUAUUGGGAGGAACACCAGUGGCGAAAGCGGUUCUCUGGAUCGAUACUGACGCUAAGACGCGAAAGCGUGGGGAGCAAACAGGGAUUAGAUACCCUGGUAGUCCACGCCGUAAACGAUGGAUAUUAGGUGUUGCGACUUUGUCGCAGUGCCGUCGCUAACGCAUUAAAUAUCCCGCCUGGGGAGUACGGCCGCAAGGUUA
Molecule: ribosomal RNA, 367 nt
Filed under: uncultured organism
Description: partial 16S ribosomal RNA
Rfam family: Bacterial small subunit ribosomal RNA
Source: RNAcentral